This 306-nucleotide ribosomal RNA is filed under the name uncultured bacterium. RNAcentral's name for it is "partial 16S ribosomal RNA". It matches the Rfam family "Bacterial small subunit ribosomal RNA", at positions 507 to 807 of the family's 1533-position model. The record is from RNAcentral.
GACAGCAGCCGCCGCGGUAAUACGAAGGGGGCUAGCGUUGUUCGGAAUCACUGGGCGUAAAGGGUGCGUAGGCGGAUUCUUAAGUCAGGGGUGAAAUCCCGAGGCUCAACCUCGGAACUGCCUUCGAUACUGGGGAUCUUGAGUCCGGAGGAGGUGAGUGGAACUGCGAGUGUAGAGGUGAAAUUCGUAGAUAUUCGCAAGAACACCGGUGGCGAAGGCGGCUCACUGGUCCGGAACUGACGCUGAGGCACGACAGCGUGGGGAGCAAACAGGAUUAGAUACCCGAGUAGUCCCUGUCUCUUAUAC